UCAGCCAUUCCCCAUCUAAUUCUGAGAUGCACGAGAGAGAGAAGGUGGCCUAGUCCUAGAUGCCGCUGUGAUGCUGCCUCCCUCCACUGAAAAUGGUGACCUCUUGCCUCACGCUUCCUCCAAGCGACAGCCACGGCCACGGUAGCCUCCUCCUUCACGCCGCUUGCACAGCCUUGCCGGUCCUUCAUCCUCCCAUCUCCGGCCAACCCAUCUUAGUUUAGGAAAGGAGAUGUCACAACAAAAAGUAAGCCAUCACUUCAAUGUCAAGUAGCACAGACUGGUGGAGUAUAUCGAAGUCAACCAGCACCUCAGGUUAGAGACACAAAGAGUUACAAGAAGUUACAGCUUUGGAGUGUUAGCAGAAAUAAUGGCUGUUGCAAGACAUCCAAAAGAAUUACAAAAUCUUAUAUGAAUGCACAAGAGCAUAAAUGAAUAAGAUUGCUUGUGAAUUAAUGUGCAAAAGUGAAGGCCCUUAUGGAGAUAAAUGUGUAUUUGAAGUGGAUGGAAUACUUAUAUAUUUUUUGUUAUUUUUGAAACAAUUCGAGGGUUACCACUGUUUGGAACAAAUUUUUUGUUAUUGUCUGACACUGUUUGAGGAUUACUACUAUUUGGAACAUUUUGAAUGGUGGAAUUUAA
Long non-coding RNA from Quercus robur (English oak), 636 nucleotides. RefSeq lists it as uncharacterized. The record is from RefSeq and is a predicted model, not a curated record. The transcript is spliced from 3 exons. Lineage: Eukaryota; Viridiplantae; Streptophyta; Magnoliopsida; Fagales; Fagaceae.